RNAcentral lists this ribosomal RNA (385 nucleotides) under uncultured eukaryote. RNAcentral describes it as "SSU rRNA". It matches the Rfam family "Eukaryotic small subunit ribosomal RNA", at positions 587 to 972 of the family's 1831-position model. The record is from RNAcentral.
AGCUCCAAUAGCGUAUAUUAAUGUUGUUGCGGUUAAAAAGCUCGUAGUUGGAUCUCGGCGGGUAGGGGGCGGUUCGUUAUUCGACGCUACUGCCCCAUUUACCCGUGUUUUUUGCGGAGCUGUCGGGGUGCUCUUAAUCGAGUGUCUCGGCGGGCCGCAAGGUUUACUUUGAAAAAAUUAGAGUGCUCAAAGCAGGCUUUACACGCUUGAAUAUUCGUGCAUGGAAUAAUGGAAUAGGACGUCGUUUCUAUUUUGUUGGUUUUCGGAAAUCGACGUAAUGAUUAAUAGGGACAGUCGGGGGCAUUAGUAUUCAGACGACAGAGGUGAAAUUCUUGGACCGUCUGAAGACUAACUACUGCGAAAGCAUUUGCCAAGAAUGUUUUCA